Molecule: non-coding RNA, 5141 nt
Organism: Benincasa hispida (wax gourd)
Lineage: Eukaryota; Viridiplantae; Streptophyta; Magnoliopsida; Cucurbitales; Cucurbitaceae
Source: RefSeq, a predicted model, not a curated record
AAUUAUCUCAAAUUCAGGGAGUCCGAUCGAAACAAAGAAAGAAAAGGAGAGCAACAAUUCUCUUUAAUUAAUCUCAUCAAUAAUGGAAGUUCUUCGGGGAUUCAUUGUCAACGGCUACCGGCGACGAUGGCAACGCCGAAACAAAACGCCAUGCCCAUAGAGGUUCAAUGUUGCUUAUUUCUCACCAAUUUGAACCUGAACGUCCUGAUCUUCGAUCCAAGAAGCAUCAUUUGCGGGACGCGAAGUGCAAGGUCUAGUUUCUGGUUGAUUCCCUUUGAAAAAUGGCAGCAGUAUCAGUUAAGCAACCAACUGCGGGCAAUAAUUGAAUCAAAAGAUAGUUAUAUGAUUUUUUCUUGUUCCGACUCCGAGCACUACAGAAGAUGAUGUGAAGCAAUGAUGUUGCAGCUAUUUGCUCUUUCCUGUGAAUGGUAUCCUUUAUUGAAGUAAAUCCAUGUCACAAGGGGUGAGAUUUGGGCACUUAUCGAGGACCAAAUGGUGGAAUUAUGUUAUGUUCCAACACUUCAACCGUUUGUUUUUCUCAGAGGUCAAAAGGCUGCUUAGCUUAUUGCACUGUUUAUACUACUAGGUGACUCAUGAAAGUUCUCUCAAAAUUUUGAAUGUUUAUGUAUCCGUCCGCCAACUCCAUUUCUUUUUCUUUUUUUUUACUGUUAAUAUUGCAUCAGGUCAGAGGUCGUUUCCAGUUUCAACAAGUGUAGUUUCUUUUUUUUCCAUGACUGUAGGCCCGUUAAUCAUCAGUGAUCAGAUGGUGAUGUUAUUGGGGGAGUACAGGAAAAAGAGCACAAGCAUUUUGAUUUGACCCUCUUUGUAGAUUUCCUCCUGCUAUUUCCUUAAAGAAUUAUUUCUUUUCUCUAACCGAACCUUAGUACCUUAACCUGCAGAACCACAACACCUGUAGUUUCUCUUUGAAAGGAAUGCCACAAGGAGUUGUUCAACAUAGGCAGCCAGGAAAUCUAUCAUAUACCAGCUUAGACAAAGCUCAUUAAGAAAGGUCAUUCUAGCUUCUACAAAUGAUUUGACCGGUGACAAAAAUAGUUCACUUCUACAGCUCUCCUUGCAAAGACAGCACCUUGGAGACAAGCAAGACCACACAAAAACCACCCCACCCCACGUUUUAUUUUUGUGCAUUUUUACCAUCAAACUACAUUGGAGAUGCAAAAUUGAGAAGUUAUUGGUAGUGUAAUGUCCUGAACCUCUCAAGCCCAACCUAUAUAGCACUGACACUCCUAAAAUGGCCAAGUAUCUCUAUCGGAUACCGACACGUGUCCAACAUGCCAGCUAGCAUCCCCAUUAUUUUAUUAUUUUUCAACACGUGAUAAGCUAAAAUUUAGGGUAUUCACCACAACUUCUCACAAUUGCACAACACACCAACUCUCAAAUUUAGGGUAUUGAUCAGCAGCUGGCCGAUUCUUUCUUGUAGCCUGAAAAAUAUGCAGAAGGCUUGUUAGAUUCUAAUUUGUAGUUUUGUUGUGUUAAACUAAUUACUAACUUAUUAGGAUCGGAAUAUUGUUAUGACGUUGGUCAUCUUAUCUAUUGUAUGGUUAUUAUUUGGAAUCUUAAAGGUAAAUAUUUUGCAUUAUGUCAAAAUAGUCACACAGAUAUUUACUUUUGUGAAAAAAAUAAAUUAACUUGUCCCCAAAGUGUCAUGUCCUACUUUUUUUUAAAAAAAAAAAUAGAUAUGUCAUCGUGUCCCUGUUGUGUCGUAUCCAUAUCUCGUGUCAGUUUCUGUGCUUCUUAGAACCAACAAACUGAAGCUUGUAUAGACCCAAAGUUGUAGCAAAUACUCGAUGUGAAGUUGACAUUGAUCUAAAUUUUUUUGCUGCUUUCUUUAAGUGUAUGUUUCUCCUUAUAGGAUAGAUUUUUAAUCUUUAUUGAUGUUCGUGAAGCCAGGUUGAUCACCUCUCCCCCCAAAACAAUUCUAGUUUAGAAGAACCGAAGUCUAAUUUGUUGGAUUAGUAUAUGUAUUCAAGCUAAGACGUAAUGCAAGCAUAAUUAGCCUUAUUUGUCCUAUUUGAAUGCAAGGAUAGUCAUGAAAAGCUGGUAAACCUGCCGAAGUAAGAAGUUUCUUGCUUUGUGUUAUAUGUGGAUUACUGUAUUAAACUCUGUAAAUGGAUUCUGAUCAAAGUAUGAAACUUCUAACCCAAAACUUCUCAUUUUCUUUGUUUAGCAAGUUAGUAACUAGACUUGGAAUCAUUUAGGGAAGAACUGCAUGUCUGCAUUUCUUUUCCUCGAUUUUCUGAGUAAAUUAUCCAUGUCAACCAUUUUGUCACCGUGCUAGUAGGUUUACUUUUGUGGUACACAUGGUCUCUCAGAAGUUUCAGUGUUGAUAUAGCAUCCAGAAACCUUAUAGGAAGGGGUAUUAAUAUCUAUAUCAAAGUUUCAGUGUUAAUAUCUGCCUACCUUUUUCUGGUCAAAAAGUUAAAAGUUGUUCAAUAAUAAAUAUGAAGAAGUCAAACAGUUUCUUCCUUAUUUAUUGCUACCAUGUAAAUUUAAUUAUAAUUCUAAAAUAACGUACACAUGUUUAUAAUUGCGUUUAAUCCAAGUUCUAAAUUCUAUUAGAACAAGCCCAUUGUGAUCACACUACAUCUAUUAAGUGCUGCAAUGAGACUCAGGUAAUUUCCUUGAGCUUUCUUAGUGGAAUAAAUUGGUAACUAAGGCGACUGCAAAUUUCAGUUGAUCGUGUCAACUGCCAAAUGAACUUCUGUAAUGAAUUUAUGUUUGCUAUGGGGUUGAGAAAACUGUGGACGUGUUUGUGUAUUUGAAAUUUCAGGCUGGUCCCUUCAAUUCCUUAGAGGCAUGCACAAGCACUUAACAACAUAUCAAACUAUUGACCAUAUUUGUGUUGCUGUUUAUAUAUUUUUGGUAUUUAAAACUUAAGGGUAUAGUUGUACAACCUAUAGGACAGAUCUUGUUCAAGUAAGCCAUUAUUGUAUUUUUGGUAUUGUAAUUGGAAGGAGAUGAAAAGAUUUCUAAGACAAGUUUGGUCACAUUGAGAUGACUAGAAAAGAGUUAAGUUUUUUUUUUUUUUUUUUUUUUUGGAGUAGAAAUGAUAAAGCUGUAGAAAUUGCUUUCCUGAAUUGCGAGUUUGUAUUGUUUAACGUUUUUCCUUGCAACUGUUUUCCUUUUUCUUCGAGUAUAUCUUAUUCCCUUAUUAUCCUCUUGCAUCUCGAUUCUUACUUAUUGGUCAAUAUAUUAGUGUUCUAUUUCUGAACUUUAAAUUUGACUAUUGACCAAAAUUAUUUAAUCAAACUUUUUAAAGAGUUGAAAUUGUGUAAUUUCUUCUGAUCUUAUCAAUGUUAUCCUAUCUCUUUACCCAGUAAUCUAGUAGCUAGUCCCUUCGGUGUCCUUAUCAUCUGCCCAAGAGUGUGCUGUCUAUUUCAUUUUCUUUUCAUGUUUUUCAUUUGAUCUGAUGUAAAUCCUAAGCUGUGUUCUUGUUUGACUUCUUGAAAGCUAUUGCACCAUUGUAAAUUCCAAAGCAGUAUCUCAUCAUGUCAAGGUUGAAGUUUAUAUAUUUUUUUUUGUCAUAUCACUUGUAAUCCUCAGUAAAGAUGGAGAUAUUUCUCUUGCCUGUUAACAGUUUGACUUGAAAUUCUCGUUCAACAAGUUUAUCAUAGCACGUAUGUGCAAAGGAAAUGGCUUGGAAAAUUGCACUUAUUGCUGCUAUGUCUUAUCAGUUCCUGUGCUGUAUGUAGUACAUUUGUCCCUUUACAUAAACAUAUUCCUUGGUAGUGAUCAGAUAACAGAAUUAUUUUUUUUGAUCUUUUAUGUGCAUAGAAGAGAAUAGCAUUUUCUACAUAUAUAUAUAUUCUCAUACACCACCUUGUUUGAAUUUUUUUAUGCAUUUGCACAGAAUUAUCAUUUACUUCAGUCAGGUAGAAGCUCGAUGCAACCUUUCCUACAAUUCUGUCAAGCUAGAUUGUACAAAAGGCAUGAAAGGAAUGUGAACUUACUCACCUUGAAGUUCGAUAUCAGCAUGGAUGCAAAAAGCUUACACGUAGUUCUUCAGAUGGAUCGACUUGACUGCAAGCCUACAAUGUUAACUUCUCUGGAGAAUCAAGUCAUAUAAACAGGCUUUGAUAGACCGUCUUUUUUAUUUGGUCUAACAUGAUCCAUCCGUUGCAGCGGAAUGGAGAUGAUGAGGGAUCGAGUAAUAUAACUUGAAUUUUAUUGUUCAUCUGUGACAGUCUUUUCCUGGAGAAAAGAAAUGUGAAGUUUAAAUUCUAAAACAUUGGUUGCGAAUGGCAUGACAAUCGGGACAGACAUGCAAGUAAAAGAAAUUGCGUGUUCGUGCUGUAAGGACCCACUGGCUAUCCUAUCAAGCGACAAGAAGCGAUGGGCUGAAAGGAACCAGAAACUAAUAUUAUAUGAAUUCCAAGCACUUAGCUUAGCGAUGGAAAAUCGUUGCUUUGGAAUCACAAAACCCUUUCUUGUCAUCUUCAUGAUUUUUAAAUCUCUUUUUGGUCCAUCAUGUCAGGGAAGGCAGGCCAUAAUGCUGAUGAUGUUGAUGAUCCUUUUGUCGGGGGAAAACAUGCAUGGAACGAAGUACGUGUUGAUAUGAGCCAAAUUAGCUUCAUGGAAAUGGAAAGAGAUGAAGAGAUUGGUUAAAAGCUGAGAGAGCCUCGAAUCUGCCAUGAAUUGAAAGCUACGUUUCAAUUUGUAUGUGCCCAGAGAAAUGGCUGUGUGAACCCAUAAUUUUGUGCCCUUUCCAAGUGGGGAACUAUGAAAUCCGACCUCCAAAGCCUUCCUUUUUCAAACUCGCCGUGGGAAUAGUAACUAUCAAUCAUAUAUUUUAAGACUAAGUCUUACUUUUUAUAUUUAAAUUAUAGAAAUGAAGAGACCUCUCAAUCGAUAUAAAGAUAUAUGAAUUAUUUUUUUCAUUGUCAAUUAGUUUUGAAAGUCCAUAAAGUUCAAAUGGGUAUUCAGCUAAAAGAAAAUUGUGAUCCGACCCAAGAAUAUCAAUGGAUAAUAUCUUCAUCUUGAAGGGACAUGCUGAAAGAUCCCAUAUCGAAAAAAUGAAGAGAUCUCUCAAUCUUUAUAAGACACAUGAGUUACUCUUCUCGUUGUCAACUAGUUUUGAGAUAGAAACUUCAUGUUUAUCUAAUGGUUCGAUUUAUCGUUUUGGC